UCAGUUCAGCACUAAGUCACUUUGUCUUUAUGGCAAAUGUGAGAUGCAGUGUAUGGAAUGUCAAAUUUCUAGUAUGAGAAAUUAACGAUUUAAGUCCUUCUUAAAUGAGGCCAUUUACCCAUAGAGGGUGCCAGGCCCGUAUAACGUUAAUGAUUACUAGAUGGCAUUUCCAAAGAGUCGUGUUGCUUGAUAGUGCAGCACUAAGUUGGUGGUAAACUCCAUCUAAAACUAAAUAUAACCAUGAGACCGAUAGUAAACAAGUACCGUGAGGGAAAGUUGAAAAGAACUCUGAAUAGAGAGUUAAAUAGUACGUGAAACUGCUUAGAGGUUAAGCCCGAUGAACCUGAAUAUCCAUUAUAGAAAAUUCAUCAUUAUGAUUUUAAUAUUAAUAAUAUUAUAAUAAUGGUGUGCAUUUUUUCUAUAACGGACAUUGUAAUCUAUUAACAUAUACCAAAUUUAUCAUAAGAUCAAUGAUGCGUAAGUUUAUUCAAAUUAUUUUGCUUGCAAUUUAACAUAGAAUAAAUGCUCUUGAUUUGAUAAAGUGUUGAUAGAUUUAUUAUAUAUAGUGCUUAAAUAUUUAUAUUUUAUAAUAGCAUAUUAAUCAUUGAUUUUUAUGUUUAUUAUAUGCACUUAUAUGAUUAACAAUGCGAAAGAUUCAGGAUACCUUCGGGACCCGUCUUGAAACACGGACCAAGGAGUCUAACAUAUUUGCAAGUUAUUGGGUAUCAAAACCUAAUAGCGAAAUUAACAUAACUUAUAUAAUGGGAUUAGUUUUUAGAUUAUUUAUAGUCUAUUAAUUCAAUCCCGGGGCGUUCUAUAUAGUUAUGUAUAAUAAUAUUUAUAUUAUUUAUACCUCUAACUAGAGCGUACCUUGAGCAUAUAUGCUGUGACCCGAAAGAUGGUGAACUAUACUUGAUCAGGUUGAAGUCAGGGGAAACCCUGAUGGAAGACCGAAACAGUUCUGACGUGCAAAUCGAUUGUCAGAAUUGAGUAUA
This 995-nucleotide ribosomal RNA is filed under the name Sarcophaga calicifera. Its description in RNAcentral is "eukaryotic LSU rRNA". It matches the Rfam family "Eukaryotic large subunit ribosomal RNA", at positions 104 to 919 of the family's 3401-position model. Lineage: Eukaryota; Metazoa; Arthropoda; Insecta; Diptera; Sarcophagidae. The record is from RNAcentral.